CCAGGCACUCUGAAGAAAAUAAUUCUGUCCCAGAUGAAACUAAUAACAAUAUGUUUUAUACACACUUGUAAAAUUCUCUGAGGCUAUGGCAGUGGAUAUUUUGAUUUUUUUUCUUGUUUUUCUAGAACAUUGAGUGGUUUUCCAUCGAUAAAUUACCAUGCCACAGAAAUGACAUGACCCCCAAGUCCAAGCUAGGUUUGGCACCUAACAAAUUUUUUAUGGCCAUUCCUUUUAUCAGGCCGUUGAGGGAAUGGAUUUCCCGAAGGAAUGGAGGAAAUUCCUCAGAUAGUGACAGAUUUUCACCUACAGGGAGCACACCCUCUAAGCCCAACUUGGAAAAACCUAGGUAAGAACCAGGUCAGUUUAACAUCUCCACACCCUUUUGUAAAAUAUUGGUCAUACAAAUCUGAUUGUCCUUUCUCUGAGGAAUGUAUUCCAGUAAUAGAGUGUGCUAAUUAAAAAUAAAUAAUAAUUAAGGGUUUAUCUCAGAGGCCUGUAAACAGGAUUGAAAGUUAAUAGUUUUGUUGUCAUUUCAAGUUAUUUAGUAAAUUCUGAAGUGUCCAGAAAUUAGGCAAUUCCUUGAGUCUUGUUUGUAGGAGCAACAAAAAAACAAAAGACAUGA
Meleagris gallopavo (turkey) is the source of this 622-nucleotide non-coding RNA. The record is from RefSeq and is a predicted model, not a curated record. Lineage: Eukaryota; Metazoa; Chordata; Aves; Galliformes; Phasianidae.